UAUUAUGACCAAAUGAUCAACACUGUUACAUAGUGCCAUUUACUUUGUGUUCUUCACUCUCGCGUUGUGUUUUGAUCGUUCGAAACUCAUUGCCAGAACGAAUGCAAAUUUCAUUUGGGAAGGAUCGGUGCCGGAAGAUGCAGUGAAAAUUAUAAAAUGUUUAUAGAAAAGUGGUUAAGUAAAUCGUGAAAGAUGUCAACGCAGGCGUAAAUGCAGUUUGUUUUGUUACUUGAUCUACGGCAAUUUCAUUACCAAAGCACCUGAUAACCGAUCAAAGAAGGUGAAUCGGGCUUACAGAGUCGCCGUUUAACUUCAAAUAUCUUCGUGAUCGGCAAGCGCAUCAAACAGCAAGUGUUUUUCUUCCAACAGCACGCGCCAUCGGUGGAGCAAGCAGCCAACGUUUCGUUCGUCUAGCACGCACCAUCAAGAAUUGAAAUAUUCCCGAAUAGCUCUGUGAAUAAAAAACUGCACACUUACUGUCCGAAU
Anopheles arabiensis is the source of this 486-nucleotide long non-coding RNA. RefSeq lists it as uncharacterized. The record is from RefSeq and is a predicted model, not a curated record. Lineage: Eukaryota; Metazoa; Arthropoda; Insecta; Diptera; Culicidae. The transcript is spliced from 3 exons.